Gopherus evgoodei (Goodes thornscrub tortoise) is the source of this 91-nucleotide long non-coding RNA. RefSeq lists it as uncharacterized. The transcript has 3 exons. NCBI's taxonomy places the organism in Eukaryota, Metazoa, Chordata, Testudines, Testudinidae. The record is from RefSeq and is a predicted model, not a curated record.
GUCUUAAGACAAAUCAUAGAAUAUCAGGGUUAGAAGGGACCUCAGGAGGUCAUCUAGUCCAACCCCCUGCUCAAAGCAGGACCAAUCCCCA